This 398-nucleotide unclassified non-coding RNA is filed under the name uncultured fungus. Its description in RNAcentral is "sequence contains ITS1". The stretch from base 1 to 105 matches the Rfam family "5.8S ribosomal RNA", at positions 50 to 154 of the family's 154-position model. The record is from RNAcentral. Lineage: Eukaryota; Fungi.
GAAAUGCGAUACGUAAUGUGAAUUGCAGAAUUCAGUGAAUCAUCGAAUCUUUGAACGCAUAUUGCGCUCUCUGGUAUUCCGGAGAGCAUGCUUGUUUGAGUAUCAGUAAACACCUCAACUCCCUUUUCUUUUUUGAAAUGGGAGCUGGACUUGAGUGAUCCCAACACUUUUCUCACUGGAAAGUGGCGGGUCACUUGAAAUGCAGGUGCAGCUGGACUUUUCUCUGAGCUAUAAGCAUAUCUAUUUAGUCUGCCUAAAAAACAGAUUAUUACCUUUGCUGCAGCUAACAUAAAGGAGAUGAGUUCUUGUGCUGACUGAUGCAGGAUUCACAGAGACAGCUUUGCGGCUGACUUUGUAAACUCGAUCUCAAAUCAAGUAAGACUACCCGCUGAACUUAA